Molecule: ribosomal RNA, 486 nt
Filed under: uncultured Cortinarius
Lineage: Eukaryota; Fungi; Basidiomycota; Agaricomycetes; Agaricales; Cortinariaceae
Description: eukaryotic LSU rRNA
Rfam family: 5.8S ribosomal RNA (bases 91-244)
Source: RNAcentral
UGUGCACUUUUUGUAGACCUGAAAAGGUCUAUGUUGCUUCAUUUUACCCCAAUGUAUGUUAAUAGAAUGUUGUACCUAUAUAAUAUAUACAACUUUCAGCAACGGAUCUCUUGGCUCUCGCAUCGAUGAAGAACGCAGCGAAAUGCGAUAAGUAAUGUGAAUUGCAGAAUUCAGUGAAUCAUCGAAUCUUUGAACGCACCUUGCGCUCCUUGGUAUUCCGAGGAGCAUGCCUGUUUGAGUGUCAUUAAUAUAUAUCAACCUUCUCUCUUGUAGUGAGUGGUUUGGAUGUGGGGGUUUGCUGGCCUCUUUUAAAAAAGGGUUCAGCUCUCCUGAAAUGCAUUAGCAGAACAACCUGUUCAUUGGUGUGAUAACUAUCUGCGCCAUUGAAUGUGAGGGGCAGUUCAGCUUUCUAACAGUCCUUGGACAAUUCAUCAUUAAUGUGACCUCAAAUCACGUAGGACUACCCGCUGAACUUAAGCAUAUCAU